RNAcentral lists this ribosomal RNA (465 nucleotides) under uncultured bacterium. RNAcentral describes it as "partial 16S ribosomal RNA". It matches the Rfam family "Bacterial small subunit ribosomal RNA", at positions 28 to 507 of the family's 1533-position model. The record is from RNAcentral.
GACGAACGCUGGCGGCGUGCUUAACACAUGCAAGUCGUACGGUAAGGCCCUUUCGGGGGUACACGAGUGGCGAACGGGUGAGCAACACGUGAGUAACCUGCCCACAACUUUGGGAUAACGCUAGGAAACUGGUGCUAAUACUGGAUAUGUGCUCCUGCUGCAUGGUGGGGGUUGGAAAGCUCCGGCGGUUGUGGAUGGACUCGCGGCCUAUCAGCUUGUUGGUGGGGUAGUGGCCUACCAAGGCGGCGACGGGUAGCCGGCCUGAGAGGGUGACCGGCCACAUUGGGACUGAGAUACGGCCCAGACUCCUACGGGAGGAAGCAGUGGGGAAUAUUGCACAAUGGGCGCAAGCCUGAUGCAGCAACGCCGCGUGCGGGAUGACGGCCUUCGGGUUGUAAACCGCUUUCAGCAGGGACGAAGCUUUUUGUGACGGUACCUGAAGAAGAAGCACCGGCUAACUACGUG